AUCAUGGCUCAGGAUGAACGCUAGCUACAGGCUUAACACAUGCAAGUCGAGGGGAAACGACAUCGAAAGCUUGCUUUUGAUGGGCGUCGACCGGCGCACGGGUGAGUAACGCGUAUCCAACCUGCCCACCACUUGGGGAUAACCUUGCGAAAGUAAGACUAAUACCCAAUGAUAUCUCUAGAAGACAUCUGAAAGAGAUUAAAGAUUUAUCGGUGAUGGAUGGGGAUGCGUCUGAUUAGCUUGUUGGCGGGGUAACGGCCCACCAAGGCAACGAUCAGUAGGGGUUCUGAGAGGAAGGUCCCCCACAUUGGAACUGAGACACGGUCCAAACUCCUACGGGAGGCAGCAGUGAGGAAUAUUGGUCAAUGGGCGAGAGCCUGAACCAGCCAAGUAGCGUGCAGGAUGACGGCCCUAUGGGUUGUAAACUGCUUUUAUAAGGGAAUAAAGUUAGUCUCGUGAGACUUUUUGCAUGUACCUUAUGAAUAAGGACCGGCUAAUUCCGUG
Molecule: ribosomal RNA, 504 nt
Filed under: uncultured bacterium
Lineage: Bacteria
Description: bacterial SSU rRNA
Rfam family: Bacterial small subunit ribosomal RNA
Source: RNAcentral